RNAcentral lists this ribosomal RNA (433 nucleotides) under uncultured bacterium. RNAcentral describes it as "partial 16S ribosomal RNA". It matches the Rfam family "Bacterial small subunit ribosomal RNA", at positions 29 to 507 of the family's 1533-position model. The record is from RNAcentral.
AGCGAACGCUGGCGGCAGGCCUAACAUAUGCAAGUCGAACGGACUCUUCGGAGUUAGUGGCGGACGGGUGAGUAACACGUGGGAACGUGCCUUUUGGUUCGGAAUAACUCAGGGAAACUUGUGCUAAUACCGAAUGUGCCCUUCGGGGGAAAGAUUUAUCGCCAUUAGAGCGGCCCGCGUCUGAUUAGCUAGUUGGUGAGGUAACGGCUCACCAAGGCGACGAUCAGUAGCCGGUCUGAGAGGAUGACCAGCCACACUGGGACUGAGACACGGCCCAGACUCCUACGGGAGGCAGCAGUGGGGAAUCUUGCGCAAUGGGCGAAAGCCUGACGCAGCCAUGCCGCGUGAAUGAUGAAGGUCUUAGGAUUGUAAAAUUCUUUCACCGGGGACGAUAAUGACGGUACCCGGAGAAGAAGCCCCGGCUAACUUCGUG